CCACUCCUGUCCUGUUCUGCCCAGCACAGCCCUUUGUAGUGAACUCAGAAUCCUCGAGCCAAACAGCUGAAGCUAUUUUAUCACAACAAAGGCCUAGUUUGUUCUGUGAGUGUGCAUUUCAUUUCUUCAGUUAAAGCCUUCAGAGACACACAAUAAAUUUGGACCAGGGGAUUUUUAGUUAUUAAUGCUGUCCGAAGAAAGGCAACGUCUCUUUGAGAACCGCAUUGGGCCAUACCCCACAAUGGCAAAUAAUUGAAGUUCGUGAACUGUCUAGGAUCCCAUCAAGGUCACUGGACCCUGUUCUUUUCCUACUUCAAAUCUGCAGAAGCCUACUGAAUGAGAAAGCAGAUAUUCUGACCCAUUGGGAUCAAAACAAAGGCACAGUGAACUCUUCAUAGCAUCAUCUUUGGGAUUACUCAGGAACCAGGACUUUUCACACAAAUGUAAGAAAUUCUACCAAGGAAUCCCUUUACCUAACAGCAUCUUACAAGGCUCCAAUCAGAUGUCAGAAAAGGCCUCUUGAGACAUCAAGCAUUUUGUGAACAACUUAUUCUUAGAUCAAUGGUUUUCCAAAGGCUUUGUGGCCGUGAAGCCCUUUGAAUGAAAAUUAUGUGGAAGCCCAGAGUAAAAGCGAAGCUGCUCUGGAUGAAGCAGUGAAGCAGGCGUAGAGGCCUGAAGCCUACCACAGCAUCUUCCUUUACUACCCUGGUGACACCUAAGGGGACUUCCUUGCAACACCUAGAACUCUUCAGAAAACAGUUUGAAAACCACUGACCUAGACAGCAAUAUGUUUGACCUAAAUGGAAUUCUGAUCUUUUUCUGUACCUCCACUCAACACAAUCCAUGUUCAGUCAAUGCUGAAUAUUGUUAGGAAUACUGUGUGCAAACUGUAGAAAAGUGCAAGAUGGGCAUGUCUUUGCCCCCCAAAAUAGUCAAAUGGGCUGAAAGUGGUGUCAAGUGAACCUAGAUUAACAGCCCUCCACCCCAGAUGGACUUCCAGUGACUGGAAUUGGAUAUAGCCAGAGAGCAAUUCUGUGCACCCUACACUGACAAACCCCCUUAACCAACUACUUUCACAAACAAGAUGUUCUAGUGGUACUUGAAGUACAUGAUUUUGAAGUCUUGACUUUCCGUGGGUACCUGAAUUGCCAGCAAGCUGGUAUUGAAGGUGGUGACUCAUUGAGGCUAUAUUAGACCAACCUGUACCUUUGAGCUCUCAGCCGCAGUACUCUGCUUCAUGUGCAAGAGAUAGCCAUUAACUAUGAAAGCAGAACCAUGCUGCCAACAUUUCCUAAAGGGGCUCAGCACCUGUGUAUCACUCAUCUCCAAACUACAAGUCACUGCAUUAAUCAACUGGUGGCAGGUACACUGCUGCUUGGGUUUUUUGUUUUUUUGGUUUUUUGUUUUUGUUUUUCAGUUUUUCUAUUCCAAGAUAAAUGAGCUCAUAACCUUAAACAAAAAAUCCCAAACAAUUCCUCCUUCACUAGCAUAUCUGCCUAUUCACCAGUAUUAUGACUACUCAGCUCUAACUACGUGUAACAGCUAAUCCUUAAGAGACAAUCUUGGAACAUCCCAUCUCAUAAAUGUGAUUUAAAGUGUAACCAUUGGAAAAUUCCUUCUAGCUAGUAAGAGAUGUUCUUUUAAGAUGAGUCCUUUGAUGUCUAAUGCCAUCAACUAUAGGUGGUAGGAAUAGUUGGAGGCAGGCCCUUUGGCCAGGCCGUGAUUGCUUACUUGCUCUGGCAUUUCAAAUAGCUUAUUGCCUAUGUUUUUGCUGGAAACAUUGACUGACUUGAAAAAAAAUCUACCAAGACUGCAGCUAAAGAUUUUACUAAUAGACUGAAGAGCCUCUGUCCUUGUGGAUGUUAUAAUGGAAUCACAUCUGUCUCGAUACUGUCGUUUUACACUGAUUCAGAGUGGCUGACUUCAUUCCUUGCCAUGAGAUAUUCUCAGGCAUUAAGACAACCUGUUUCUGCAGGAAGGAUUCAAUUCAUAAAUUCUCAGACCAUGUUGAACAAAGAGACUUCAAUUUGUGUCAUGAGAAAAUUUUGUUCCUUUAUGUCACGGUCAAUUUAAGGGCCAGCUGUCCUCCUGAGCUACUCUAAUGAAUGCACUGGUUAAAGAUUGGGAAUGGUGUCUUUAUAUCCUUGUCUCUUAUCCUCUAGACUAAUAGUAAUUAUAUGACUGAUUCUACAUGUCAUCAAAUAAGACCUAGGUCUGGUUCCUCUAGACUGCUCACCCUCAACAAAUGAAAAUAAAAUCUGGAUGAUGAUUAGCCUGCUUGUACAUACAACUUUUAUUUGUAAAAGAAGAAGUUACCUUCAAGUUCAAUUUUCUACCUUCAAAUUGUCGGCUCUUUCUUUCCCUCUGUUUUUUUCCUGUACUUUACAGGAAAAGACAUUGAUCUACACUGCCAGUCAUUGCCUCCUUAGAUGAGUUUAAAAUGAGGAUGAUCAUCUGCUCAAGAGUCUUCAAUGUACACUGCAUAUAAGACUUGGUGAUUGGAAAAACAGCCUAAAACAAACCUAGGAGUUUGCCUACUAUCUCCAUGCCUCAAAUCUCAUCUAAAUUUUCAGCAGCACCAUUCAACCAAUGUGAGGCCUUGACUUGUUUGUGAGAUGUUUCUCAGAGAUGGGCUGAGUUACAGAAGGUGAACACUUGAUUACCAAAGAAAGUAGGGCCAACUUUGACAAACAUGGCUCUGCUGACCCUUGUGGCUCCCAGAUGUAGCAUAGACUCCCAAACAGAACCUCAAGUCUGGAUUGAGAAUAUGGCCGCCUCCUGAGCUGAAAGUUCUCGGGCAGAUGAGCAGAAAAAUGAAAGCUGAUGUAUCUGACUGGCCCUUUCAGAUGGGAAAAUUAUAUCCAGAGCAAGCCCUAUGGAUUAACCCUGGAGUACCCAGGGUGAAACUAAUUUACAGAGCUGCAUUAUUAAUCUGCCUGUUCCUCCAGAUCAUAUCCUGGCUAUUGGUAUGUCUGGCCCUACUGAAGGUACCUUGUUUGUUUAUUUACCUGACUCAGCUCUUACCUGCCUUUUCUGACAUGUUGCUGCAAUUGGACUGACCUUGAGAAGACUAUAGCUGAUUUUAGCCUAUCUUGUGCCUAAUUCCACCAAGGAUUUUUGAAUAGAAGCAACCCACACCUCACCCCACCAGGACAUAAUGUUCACAACAGGAGUGACCAUGCUGUACACUCCUUGACCAGCAGCUUUUUAAAGAUUUUGAGUAUAGAAUAAGCUUCUAUGCUUGCCUACUGUUUGAUCAUUUUUAUCACCUGGGACCUCGCCUAUCCUAUGUGGAAGGAGUACAGCAGAUCAAAAGCAGUGUCCAUUUCUCUCUUCUGCAGUUAAUACAGAGAUGAGUCUGAUUCAUCAGUACUCAUAGAAAUGUACCAGUUCAACUUGGCAAAAGACUUAAAGGAACACAAGAAAAGUUUUCUGUUGAACUUAAAAUUUACCACUGACUCAAAUAACCUCACAGAAUUUUUUUCCAGUGAGAGGCAAGUUGUCUUGCUUCACAUCAGUGGAUGGUCGGGCUCUCAGACUCAUGACUGCUCUGAGUUUGCUUCUGUUGAAACUCUGUGGUAUCAUCCAAAGUAUGCUAUUGGACGUGAUUGUUACUCCAUUCAAAUGGACUGCAGGCUUCCUGCAAACAGGACAAAAUUAUCCAUCAUGGUGUGUUUUUUUGUUGUUUUUUUUUUUGUCUCCGUAAGAAUACGUUUAUUACCAAGGAAGAAACAACGCCAGCUGUUACCAUUCAACUUCAAGAGCAGAGGUUAAGCUUUUUCCGUGUCUCAUCUUAUCCUGGACGUCAGUUGUAUUUGCCCAGCAUCUAUUCCAUCUCAUUGUAAGAACUUCCUGAUGUUUCUUGGGACCACCUCUUCCUAUUUUUAGUCCAUGUGGUUUGAAGAGUCUGACCCAACUUUAGACUUCAUGUGAUUCGGACCACAUCAAUCAGUAAAUCCCAUCUCCUUGACCAUAGUGAUUGGUUCAGGAGUGGUUGUGUGAUUCAAGUUGGUCCAGUGAUACUCAACCCUCAGAGUUUUACUAAACUGUGGAGAAGGAGAAGCUCUCUUUAUUGAGGUGCUUUAGCUUUGUAGAAUGAAAAACUCAAACCAACAGGGCCUACCAUAUUGAAUGAAGCAGUCAAAGAAUGAAGCCAGUGCAGAGGAAAGCAGAGCCAAAAUAUAGAGAGACUUGAAUCCUGAUGACAACAUUUGUGCCCCUGGAUCCCACCGUGCCUGAAGCUAGUAUAUCCCCUGGACUUUUCAGUUAUGUGAACCAAUAAAUACUGUUUUUUGCUUAAGUUA
Long non-coding RNA from Lemur catta (Ring-tailed lemur), 4304 nucleotides. RefSeq lists it as uncharacterized. NCBI's taxonomy places the organism in Eukaryota, Metazoa, Chordata, Mammalia, Primates, Lemuridae. The record is from RefSeq and is a predicted model, not a curated record. The transcript has 2 exons.